RNAcentral lists this ribosomal RNA (226 nucleotides) under Vibrio parahaemolyticus. RNAcentral's name for it is "partial 23S ribosomal RNA". It matches the Rfam family "Bacterial large subunit ribosomal RNA", at positions 1531 to 1754 of the family's 2925-position model. Lineage: Bacteria; Pseudomonadati; Pseudomonadota; Gammaproteobacteria; Vibrionales; Vibrionaceae. The record is from RNAcentral.
GUUAGGUAAAUCCGGCUCUUUUUAAGGCUGAGACACGACGUCGAGCUACUACGGUAGUGAAGUCAUUGAUGCCAUGCUUCCAGGAAAAGCCUCUAAGCUUCAGAUUGUAAGGAAUCGUACCCCAAACGACACAGGUGGUCGGGUAGAGAAUACCAAGGCGCUUGAGAGAACUCGGGUGAAGGAACUAGGCAAAAUGGUACCGUAACUUCGGGAGAAGGUACGCUCU